CAUACCUAUUCGAAGGGAUAGGGUCGGUUUGGCCGGAUUUCACACGGGUGUUGCAUGGCUGUCGUCAGCUCGUGUCGUGAGAUGUUGGGUUAAGUCCCGCAACGAGCGCAACCCUCAUCCUUAGUUACCAUCAGGUUAUGCUGGGGACUUUAAGGAAACUGCCAGUGAUAAACUGGAGGAAGGUGGGGAUGAUGUCAAGUCAUCAUGGCCCUUAUGGAGUGGGCUACACACGUGCUACAAUGGUGAUUACAAUGGGCUGCAAGGUCGCAAGGCUGAGCUAAUCCUAAAAAAUCAUCUCAGUCCGGAUUGUUCUCUGCAACUCGAGAGCAUGAAGUUGGAAUCGCUAGUAAUCGUGGAUCAGCAUGCCACGGUGAAUACGUUCUCGGGCCUUGUACACACUGCCCGUCACGCCAUGGGAAUUGGUUUCACUCGAAGCU
This 437-nucleotide ribosomal RNA is filed under the name Wolbachia endosymbiont of Aphis gossypii. RNAcentral describes it as "bacterial SSU rRNA". It matches the Rfam family "Bacterial small subunit ribosomal RNA", at positions 992 to 1428 of the family's 1533-position model. The record is from RNAcentral. Lineage: Bacteria; Pseudomonadati; Pseudomonadota; Alphaproteobacteria; Rickettsiales; Anaplasmataceae.